AGAGUUUGAUCAUGGCUCAGGAUGAACGCUGGCGGCGUGCCUAACACAUGCAAGUCGAGCGAAGCACUUUACUUUGAGAUCUUCGGAAGGAUAAGUUUUGUGACUGAGCGGCGGACGGGUGAGUAACGCGUGGGCAACCUGCCUCACACAGGGGGAUAACAGUUAGAAAUGACUGCUAAUACCGCAUAAGGCCACAGCACCGCAUGGUGCAGGGGUAAAAACUCCGGUGGUGUGAGAUGGGCCCGCGUCUGAUUAGUUAGUUGGCGGGGUAACGGCCUACCAAGGCGACGAUCAGUAGCCGACCUGAGAGGGUGACCGG
Molecule: ribosomal RNA, 319 nt
Filed under: uncultured bacterium
Lineage: Bacteria
Description: bacterial SSU rRNA
Rfam family: Bacterial small subunit ribosomal RNA
Source: RNAcentral